This 355-nucleotide ribosomal RNA is filed under the name Blastomyces dermatitidis. RNAcentral describes it as "LSU rRNA". It matches the Rfam family "Eukaryotic large subunit ribosomal RNA", at positions 1540 to 1894 of the family's 3401-position model. Lineage: Eukaryota; Fungi; Ascomycota; Eurotiomycetes; Onygenales; Ajellomycetaceae. The record is from RNAcentral.
CGAUCCUAAGACAUAGGGAAACUCCGUUUGAAAGCGCGCCCUCGUGCGCCGUCCGUCGAAAGGGAAGCCGGUUAACAUUCCGGCACCUGGAUGUGGAUUCUCCACGGCAACGUAACUGAACGCGGAGACGUCGGCGGGGGUCCUGGGAAGAGUUAUCUUUUCUUCUUGACGGCCUAUCACCCUGAAAUCGGUUUGUCCGGAGCUAGGGUUCAAUGGCCGGCAGAGCCCCGCACCUUUGCGGGGUCCGGUGCGCCUCCGACGACCCUUGAAAAUCCGCGGGAAGGAAUAGUUUUCACGCCAGGUCGUACUCAUAACCGCAGCAGGUCUCCAAGGUGAAAAGCCUCUAGUUGAUAGA